UUUGUAGAAUGAACCGGCGAGUUACGAUUUGUUGCAAGGUUAAGCGGAAAAAGCGGAGCCGUAGCGAAAGCGAGUCUGAAUAGGGCGCAUAAGUAACAGGUCGUAGACCCGAAACCAGGUGAUCUACCCAUGUCCAGGAUGAAGGUAAGGUAAUACUUACUGGAGGUCCGAACCCACGCACGUUGAAAAGUGCGGGGAUGAGGUGUGGGUAGCGGAGAAAUUCCAAUCGAACUUGGAGAUAGCUGGUUCUCUCCGAAAUAGCUUUAGGGCUAGCCUCGAGGUAAAGAGUCAUGGAGGUAGAGCACUGUUUGGACUAGGGGCCCUUCUCGGGUUACCGAAUUCAGAUAAACUCCGAAUGCCAUGUACUUAUACUCGGGAGUCAGACUGCGAGUGAUAAGAUCCGUAGUCGAAAGGGAAACAGCCCAGACCACCAGUUAAGGUCCCCAAAUAUAUGUUAAGUGGAAAAGGAUGUGGGGUUGCUUAGACAACCAGGAUGUUGGCUUAGAAGCAGCCACCAUUGAAAGAGUGCGUAAUAGCUCACUGGUCGAGUGACCCCGCGCCGAAAAUGUACCGGGGCUAAACAUAUUACCGAAACUGUGGAUGAACCUCUUUAGAGGUUCGUGGUAGGAGAGCGUUCUAAGGGCGGUGAAGUCAGACCGGAAGGACUGGUGGAGCGCUUAGAAGUGAGAAUGCCGGUAUGAGUAGCGAAAGAAGGGUGAGAAUCCCUUCCACCGAAUAUCUAAGGUUUCCUGAGGAAGGCUCGUCCGCUCAGGGUUAGUCGGGACCUAAGCCGAGGCCGAUAGGCGUAGGCGAUGGACAACAGGUAGAGAUUCCUGUACCAGUGCUAAUUGUUUAACCGAUGGGGUGACACAGAAGGAUAGGGAAUCGCACGAAUGGAAAUGUGCGUCCAAGCAGUGAGUGUGAGAAGUAGGCAAAUCCGCUUCUCGCGAAGCAUGAGCUGUGAUGGGGAAGGAAAUUAAGUACGGAAGUUCCUGAUUUCACGCUGUCAAGAAAAGCCUCUAGGAAGAGUAGUACUGCCCGUACCGCAAACCGACACAGGUAGAUGAGGAGAGAAUCCUAAGGUGAGCGAGAGAACUCUCGUUAAGGAACUCGGCAAAAUGACCCCGUAACUUCGGGAGAAGGGGUGCUCUAUUAGGGUGCAAGCCCGAGAGAGCCGCAGUGAAUAGGCCCAGGCGACUGUUUAGCAAAAACACAGGUCUCUGCAAAACCGUAAGGUGACGUAUAGGGGCUGACGCCUGCCCGGUGCUGGAAGGUUAAGAGGAGUGCUUAGCUUCGGCGAAGGUACGAAUUGAAGCCCCAGUAAACGGCGGCCGUAACUAUAACGGUCCUAAGGUAGCGAAAUUCCUUGUCGGGUAAGUUCCGACCCGCACGAAAGGCGCAACGAUCUGGGCACUGUCUCAACGAGAGACUCGGUGAAAUUAUAGUACCUGUGAAGAUGCAGGUUACCCGCGACAGGACGGAAAGACCCCGUGGAGCUUUACUGCAACCUGAUAUGGAAUGUUUGUACCGCUUGUACAGGAUAGGUAGGAGCCGAAGAGACGUGUGCGCUAGCAUACGAGGAGGCAAUGGUGGGAUACUACCCUGGCUGUAUGACCAUUCUAACCCGCCACGCUUAGCGCGUGGGGAGACAGUGUCAGGUGGGCAGUUUGACUGGGGCGGUCGCCUCCUAAAGAGUAACGGAGGCGCCCAAAGGUUCCCUCAGAAUGGAUGGAAAUCAUUCGCAGAGUGUAAAGGCACAAGGGAGCUUGACUGCGAGACUGACAAGUCGAGCAGGGACGAAAGUCGGGCUUAGUGAUCCGGUGGUUCCGCAUGGAAGGGCCAUCGCUCAACGGAUAAAAGCUACCCCGGGGAUAACAGGCUUAUCUCCCCCAAGAGUCCACAUCGACGGGGAGGUUUGGCACCUCGAUGUCGGCUCGU
This 1938-nucleotide ribosomal RNA is filed under the name Listeria monocytogenes. Its description in RNAcentral is "partial 23S ribosomal RNA". It matches the Rfam family "Bacterial large subunit ribosomal RNA", at positions 607 to 2540 of the family's 2925-position model. Lineage: Bacteria; Bacillati; Bacillota; Bacilli; Caryophanales; Listeriaceae. The record is from RNAcentral.